RNAcentral lists this non-coding RNA (265 nucleotides) under Selaginella moellendorffii. RNAcentral describes it as "rRNA LSU_rRNA_eukarya". It matches the Rfam family "Eukaryotic large subunit ribosomal RNA", at positions 675 to 938 of the family's 3401-position model. The record is from Rfam by way of RNAcentral. Lineage: Eukaryota; Viridiplantae; Streptophyta; Lycopodiopsida; Selaginellales; Selaginellaceae.
CUAACAUGUAUAUGAGUUUGUGGGUGUUAAACCUAUAUAAGCAAAAGGAAACUAAUUCGUGGGAUCCCCUUCUAGGGCGCACCAUGGAUUGACCUUGAUUUUUUGAGAAGGGUUUGAGUGUUAGCAUAUCUAUUGGGACCCAAAAGAUGGUGAACUAUGCCUGAGUAGAGUGUAGCCAGAGGAAACUUUGGUGGAGGCUUGUAGCGAUACUAAUAUGUAAAUCCUUCAUCAGACUUAGGUAUUGCCUUAAUUCUCUGGAAAUAGU